Molecule: ribosomal RNA, 491 nt
Filed under: uncultured bacterium
Lineage: Bacteria
Description: bacterial SSU rRNA
Rfam family: Bacterial small subunit ribosomal RNA
Source: RNAcentral
AGGCGGCAUGCCUUACCAUGCAAGUCGAACGGCAGCACGGGGGCAACCCUGGUGGCGAGUGGCGAACGGGUGAGUAACAUAUCGGAACGUGCCCUGGAGUGGGGGAUAACUAGUCGAAAGACUAGCUAAUACCGCAUACGAUCUACGGAUGAAAGUGGGGGAUCGCAAGACCUCAUGCUCGUGGAGCGGCCGAUAUCUGAUUAGCUAGUUGGUGGGGUAAAGGCCUACCAAGGCAUCGAUCAGUAGCUGGUCUGAGAGGACGACCAGCCACACUGGGACUGAGACACGGCCCAGACUCCUACGGGGGGCAGCAGUGGGGAAUUUUGGACAAUGGGCGCAAGCCUGAUCCAGCAAUGCCGCGUGAGUGAAGAAGGCCUUCGGGUUGUAAAGCUCGUUUGUCAGGGAAGAAACGGUUCGGGUUAAUACCUUGGGCUAAUGACGGUACCUGAAGAAUAAGCACCGGCUAACUACGUGCCAGCAGCCGCGGUAAU